UUAAGGUAUGGUGGCACACACCUGUAAUCCUUUCUAUUGAGCAGGAUGAGAGGAGUGGAUGACUUGAGCUCCAGAGUUCUCAGUUGCAGUGGGCUAAGCCCAUCAAGGGUCCACACCAGUAUGGUGAACCCCUGCGAGCAGGGGGUCAUCUGUCUGCAUAAGGAGGGGCGAACUGACCCAGGUCAGAAAUGGAAUAGAUCCAAACAACUGUGCAGAUCAGUAGUGGCAUUGGGAUUAGGUGUGGCCACUGCACUUCCAGCCUCCAGAUGGAAAGACCCAGUUUCA
This 285-nucleotide non-coding RNA is filed under the name Phascolarctos cinereus (koala). The record is from RNAcentral. Lineage: Eukaryota; Metazoa; Chordata; Mammalia; Diprotodontia; Phascolarctidae.